AUUGAACGCUGGCGGCAGGCCUAACACAUGCAAGUCGAACGCGUCGCGGACGGGUGAGUAAUGUCUGGGAAACUGCCUGAUGGAGGGGGAUAACUUCUGGAAACUGUCGCUAAUACCGCAUACUAUCAGAUGUGCCCAGAUGGGAAUAGCUUGUUGGUGGGGUAACGGCUCACCAAGGCGACGACCCCUAGCUGGUCUGAGAGGAUGACCAGCCACACUGGAACGGAGACACGGUCCAGACUCCUACGGGAGGCAGCAGUGGGGAAUAUUGCACAAUGGGCGCAAGCCUGAUGCAGCCAUGCCGCGUGUAUGAAGAAGGCCUUCGGGUUGUAAAGUACUUUCAGCGGGGAGGCGUUACCGACAGAAGAAGCACCGGCUAACUCCGUGCCAGCAGCCGCGGUAAUUC
RNAcentral lists this ribosomal RNA (406 nucleotides) under uncultured bacterium. RNAcentral's name for it is "partial 16S ribosomal RNA". It matches the Rfam family "Bacterial small subunit ribosomal RNA", at positions 30 to 526 of the family's 1533-position model. The record is from RNAcentral.